UACGUAGGGGGCAAGCGUUGUCCGGAUUUAUUGGGCGUAAAGAGCGUGUAGGCGGCCAAGCAGGUCCGCUGUGAAAACUCGAGGCUCAACCUCGAGACGUCGGUGGAAACCGUUUGGCUAGAGUCCGGAAGAGGAGAGUGGAAUUCCCGGUGUAGCGGUGAAAUGCGCAGAUAUCAGGAAGAACACCCGUGGCGAAAGCGGCUCUCUGGGACGGUACUGACGCUGAGGCGCGAAAGCGUGGGGAGCGAACAGG
RNAcentral lists this ribosomal RNA (253 nucleotides) under uncultured bacterium. RNAcentral's name for it is "partial 16S ribosomal RNA". It matches the Rfam family "Bacterial small subunit ribosomal RNA", at positions 524 to 776 of the family's 1533-position model. The record is from RNAcentral.